GAGUUUGAUCGUGGCUCAGGACGAACGCUGGCGGCGUGCUUAACACAUGCAAGUCGAACGAGAAUCUACUGAAAGAGUUUUUCGGACAAUGGAAGUAGAGGAAAGUGGCGGACGGGUGAGUAACGCGUGAGGAACCUGCCUUGAAGAGGGGACGAACAAGUUGGAGACGACUGCUAAUAACCGCAUGAUGCAUAAAGGGUCGGCAUGAUUCUUAUGCCAAAGAUUUAUCGCUUCAAGAUGGCCUCGCGUCUGAUU
This 255-nucleotide ribosomal RNA is filed under the name uncultured microorganism. RNAcentral's name for it is "partial 16S ribosomal RNA". It matches the Rfam family "Bacterial small subunit ribosomal RNA", at positions 9 to 242 of the family's 1533-position model. The record is from RNAcentral.